UUCUCCUGGUCUCAUAGACUGCAGAGACGUCACUGAUGAUGAACUCACUAGGAACUGAUGGGAUGGUGAACAUAGAAACUUCCUUGCAUUUUCAAGUGUCUUGAAGCGCCCUUCAUUCUGACUCCACUUGUCUGGAAUAGGUGGAGGAGGACCCAAAGGGCAGGAGACCGGGCUUGGAGGCAGAACCUUCAAACAUUUAAUAAAGAAACUGAAACAUGAACAAAAACAUGAGAUCAAGAAAGGAGUGACAAAACAGAUCAGAUGAUCUGAUAAGGAAGAAGUGAAAAGCAGACACUGAAAUAGACUGAAGGUUGAGAUACUGCAGAUUGUCAAAGAUCAGCUGUGCUGCUCUGAUCACAACUCUGAAUUUAAACCCGUCCCACCUGACAGAACUGGACCUGGAAUGCAACAACCUUCAGUCUUCAGAUGUUCAGCAGCUCCAGGAUCUGGUGGAGAGUCCAAACUUCAAACUGCAGACUCUGAGAUGGGAGGGAGAAGCUAUUUUCCUUUUCAAAUGAUCAACCAGAGAGAAUCAUCAUCAUCAUCAUCUGGUCUGCAGAGAUGGUUUUCCUGGAGGUGGAGAGCAGAGUGAUGGAGGAAUCAGAGGAAGUGGAGAUGAGUGUGUGAGUUGCACUAUCUCUCUCAGCAUCAAGUGGACAGUUAUUGUGCUGCAGCUCCCCCGGUGGACUGAUGGAGAACUGCACUUCAUCUUCUCAUUCUAACUUGGAGUGUUGGGAAGUCUUCUGCUUUUCUUCUCUCUCGUAUUUGGAGCUUCUUUUAACUUUGUCCACACACUCUUGCUGUAGUUUUCUCCUCAAGUGUCCUGAAACUGUUUCUCUGAAUGAUCUGUGUUGGUGAUUCAUCAGAUUCAGACAUGAUGGUUUCCUGCAGAAGCUCAGAAGUCUUUUCUGGUGUUUCUUGGACUCCUGCACGUCUCUGUACCACAGAGUGGACCAGCAUUCUCUGAACAUCCUUCAGCUGGUCCAGAAAGCAGCAGCAUGGCUGUUGACCAGAGAAAGAAAACCUUCCAGCAGUUCUGGCCUCAGGAUUCUCCAUCUGGGAGCAUUUUGGUUCUUCUUUUUCAUCUUUAUCAGACCUUUCAGAACCACAAAGUGGACUCAGUUCCUCUGAGUAAAGGCUGCUGGGUUUUGUAUUUUGUUCAUUAUUUUACAGGAUGUUGUUCUAUUGUAACCAUGGUAACCGUGGGAACCACACUCCUGUUUACUCUGAGUCCUGAAGCAGAAAUCCCACCAGAACUAACAAAAGUCUCUCAGUUGAAUCAUUUUUAUAUCAUCUCUGUUCUGUUGAUGAUAAAAUAUUGACUCAUGCAGUUUGAAAGACUCAGAGUUUUAGUUUGAUGUUUUCUACAGUUUUAUGAUUGAACUUCCUUUUUCUUUGGUGUUUUCUGGGUAAAACUCUGUUCUUUUUCAUGCUGACAACAUUUUAGCUGAAGUUUUAAAGAAGUUUCAUCUAAAUCCAGUAGAAUCUGAUCAUUUUCUAGAAAGUCUGAAACUAGUAGAAACUUUCUGAGCAUAAAGCCUGUUUUCUCCAGAGGACAUGAAUGAACAGAGUGGAUGUUAGUGAGGAAUGACAGAGAAUCACUUUGAUGCAGCUGCUUCAACAACACUAACUGCAUUGAAGCAGGAGGGAGAAGGGAGACACCUGCUGGCUGUUUCCAGAACUGCAUCUUAGUGUCUAAAGGUUCAAACUGAAAGCUGUCUGUCAAAUUCCUGCAGCCUGUUUGGAUCUAAUAAAUGCUCUUUUGAAUCAA
Oryzias melastigma (Indian medaka) is the source of this 1771-nucleotide long non-coding RNA. RefSeq lists it as uncharacterized. The transcript is spliced from 3 exons. NCBI's taxonomy places the organism in Eukaryota, Metazoa, Chordata, Actinopteri, Beloniformes, Adrianichthyidae. The record is from RefSeq and is a predicted model, not a curated record.